Antechinus flavipes (yellow-footed antechinus) is the source of this 1650-nucleotide long non-coding RNA. RefSeq lists it as uncharacterized. NCBI's taxonomy places the organism in Eukaryota, Metazoa, Chordata, Mammalia, Dasyuromorphia, Dasyuridae. The record is from RefSeq and is a predicted model, not a curated record. The transcript has 5 exons.
GUUCAAUUGUGCUUGCUGUAGAUACAUUUUCAUCCCUGAGACAAACUUGAAACAGCAGAAUUUUGAUGAGUGCUGAGAGGCAGAAAAAAUUCUGAGUUAUUCUGCUUGCAUUUGGAGAUCCCUGUCUGGCUUUAAGAGGGAAUCAAGUUCUGGACUUGGAAUCCAGAAGCCCCAAGUUAUGAAUGGAGUGUACCACUCAGAGUCAGUGAGCAAACUUCUGCCCUAGGGAGGGAAUUCAAAGCUAGGCGACUGCAAGAGAUGGAGAAGAAAAUCUUCCAUGUCAUCUUAGAUCUAAAGAUAGAAAGGCUAUCCAAAGUCAUGUAGUUCAAACUCAUUACCUUCCAAUUAAAAUUUCUUCAAAUGAUUUGUACAAGAUGAUCUAUAUGUACCAUUAGCCUCAUUGAAAAAGACAUGAGCAAAAUGGAAAGAAAGACCAUGGGAAUGAACCAUAUUUCAACCAUGUUCCUGUUGCCAGAUUAACUGCACCAGAGACCUUCCAAAGAGGUCUUCAAGUCAAGCCCUGCAAAAGGAAAAACCAAAGGAUCUCUUUUUAGUUUUCACAAGUUAUUUUUGGGGAAAAGUACAUAAAUAAAUCAGUGCAGAAACAAGUAAAACUUCAGCUCCAGCUUUUCUAGGACAUAAAAUCCCUUCAACUCCAAUGAUCAAAAUGAACUCCAAGGAGAAGAUUUGCACCAUCAGUAUCAAUCCAGGUAACAAUGGAUUGCAGAUAAAUGGAAUGAACUCAGGAUUUUUUUAACCACAUAUAAUAAGUAAAUCUAUAAAAUGUAAUUCCAAUUGAAUAAUUAGGGGAGAUGAUCUUCACUUGUGUCUCAGACACUAUUCUAAAUUAAAAUUCAGGAAUAAGAUAUGAGGAGAGAAAGAGACAGACAGACACAGAGACAAAGACAGAGAAAGACCGAGAGACACAGGGCGAAGAAGAAGAGAGAGAGAAAUAAGGAAGGAGAGGGAGAGAGGUAAGGAGGAAGGGAGAGAGAGAGAAAGAGAGAGAGGAAGAAGAAGGAUGAGGAGGAGGAGAGAGAGCUAAGGAGGGAGGGAGGUAAAAAGAAAGAGGAGUGAGAGAAGAGGAGAAGAGAAGAGGAGAAGAGAAGAAAAGGAGGGAGGGAAAAAGAUAAAAGGAGGAGGGAGAGGGGAGAGAGACAGGCACUAAGAUAGGGUGUGCUUUAACCAGGAUCAUAUGAUCAGUAUGAGUCAAAGGCAGAUCUUGAACCUGGGUUAUUCUAGCUGCAAGGCCAGCUUUCUAUUCACUUUGCCAUUGCUGCUUCUUAGGAAUCCAUAUCAAAAUAUCAGAAAGGGUCCUUUUGCAACUUGAUGACUGCUGAUGAGUAGGAUGACCUCCUUUGGUGUCCUCUCUAGGGAAAAAAAAACUUGUAAAGCCUAAAUGCAGAUCAAAGAUACUUUUGUUUAUUAUUCUUUGGAGGGUUUUUGUUUGUGUUUUCUUUCACAGCAUAAUUUAUAUGGAAAAGUGUUUUGCAUGACUACACAUGUAUAAUCUAUGUCAAAUUGCUUGUCUUCUCGAUGAAAGGGAGGGAGAGAGAGAAUUUGGGACUCAAUAUUUGCAAAAAGAAUUAAAAUUGAUUUUACAUGUAAUUGAGAAAAAUAACAUAUUAAAUUAUUUUAAAAAGACUGUCA